RNAcentral lists this ribosomal RNA (207 nucleotides) under uncultured bacterium. RNAcentral describes it as "partial 16S ribosomal RNA". It matches the Rfam family "Bacterial small subunit ribosomal RNA", at positions 568 to 774 of the family's 1533-position model. The record is from RNAcentral.
AGCGCAGACGGUUGAUUAAGUCUGAUGUGAAAGCCCGGAGCUCAACUCCGGAAUGGCAUUGGAAACUGGUUAACUUAAGUGCAGUAGAGGUAAGUGGAACUCCAUGUGUAGCGGUGGAAUGCGUAGAUAUAUGGAAGAACACCAGUGGCGAAGGCGGCUUACUGGACUGUAACUGACGUUGAGGCUCGAAAGUGUGGGUAGCAAACA